GAGGGCGCGCGGCGGAUGCCUGGGCGGCCAGAGCCGAUGAAGGACGUGCCCGGCUGCGAUAAGCCCCGGGGAGCCGCCGGGACGGCUGUGAUCCGGGGAUCUCCGAAUGGGGCAACCCACCCGGGGUCAUGCCCGGGUACCUCGGCCUCGCGCCGAGGAGGGAACCGGGGGAACGGAAACAUCUCACUACCCCGAGGAGGAGAAAUCAACCGAGAUUCCCCAAGUAGUGGCGAGCGAACGGGGAACAGCCCAAACCGUUGCCGUGAAGAAGCCUGCUGGCGUUGCGGCAACGGGGUUGUGGGACCUUCCCGGCGGGGCAGCAGACCCGCCACGGAGUGAUCCACCGCCCCUCCACUCGAACCCCGUUGGAACGCGGGACCAGAGACGGUGACAGUCCGGUAGGGGACGGAGGGGCGGCUCCGCGAAGGCACCCGAGUACCCCGGGACACGUGGAACCCUGGGGGAAGCUGGGGGGACCACCCUCCAAGGCUAAAUACUCCUGGCGACCGAUAGCGCACCAGUACCGUGAGGGAAAGGUGAAAAGCACCCCGGAAGGGGAGUGAAAGAGAACCUGAAACCGCGCGCCCACAGAGUGUCGUUGUCCCGAGCGUGCUCGGGAUGACGGCGUGCUUCGUGUAGCAAGAGCCGGCGAGUCGCUCUCGCAGGCGGGUUAAGCCGCGAUCCGGCGGAGCCGCAGGGAAACCGAGUCCGAACAGGGCGCCCCCGCCCCGGUCGGCCCGGGGCGGAAACGUCUGCGGGAGCGGACCCGAAACCGGGUGAUCUUCCCAUGGCCAGGGCGAACUCCCGCUCCGCUCGGGAGGGAGGCCCGAACCCAUCGUGGGUGCAAUCGCGUGGGAGGAGCUGUGGGAAGCAGCGAAACGCCAAUCGAACCCGGAGAUACCUGGUUCUCCCCGAACUGCGUACUGCGCAGCGUCGGGUGUUCCGUGGCGGCGGUAGAGCACCGGCCGGCCCGCGCCGGCCGAACUCCGAAUGCCGCCACGCCAAGCCCGGCAGUGCGACGGCGGGGGGGAGCUCCGCCGUCUAAAGGGAAACAGCCCAGAUCACCGGCUAAGGUCCCCGA
Molecule: ribosomal RNA, 1081 nt
Filed under: Bacillota bacterium
Lineage: Bacteria; Bacillati; Bacillota
Description: Firmicutes bacterium (sediment metagenome) partial 23S ribosomal RNA
Rfam family: Bacterial large subunit ribosomal RNA
Source: RNAcentral